This 369-nucleotide unclassified non-coding RNA is filed under the name Hevea brasiliensis (rubber tree). The record is from RNAcentral. Lineage: Eukaryota; Viridiplantae; Streptophyta; Magnoliopsida; Malpighiales; Euphorbiaceae.
AAAAAUGAAGGAGGAAAUGAUUGGUAAGCUGAAUAGACAAUUUUGGUGUCUUAUUUGCCUGUUUUUGUUUCUCAAUCUUGGAGGGGAAAUCUACAGUUUUUUUUAGAAAUAUAUCUCGAAGUCAUUGUUUAUGCUUUUGUCAUGCCUCCUGUUCUGCCCUUUUAUUUAUUAUGAUAAAUACUCAAGUUCAAAGAGAUAUGCAAUUUACAAUAGAGGAAGUUGAUAAAAUGUAUGUUUUAGGCUUAAGUAACUAUAAUCACCUCAAAUUUUCUCAAGAAUUGGGGGCAACACUGGAGGAGGUAGCAACUAAGACCUGUACUUUAGAAGUCAAUAAACUGCUAAAUAAUCCUUGUGUGUAAUUAGCAUGCU